UGGGAGUACCCAUGCUGCCUUGCGCAUUCUUUUCGAAUUGCUGGACAGCCUGGGGACCAAGGCAGAAAUCUUUACAUCGAAACGGGGGCCAAUCACAGAGCGAGGAGGCACGAAAGACGAUGACGCGUACUACUCGACAAACGGAAGUUAGUUGCUAGUAGUUUUUUCGCGAAUCCAUCAUGGCGGCAGCCGAAGCGAAGCAAUCUUUCGGAGAAGCUCUGGACAGUGUUUUGAAUAGUUUGGAACGUAAUUUCGCUUUGAAAAACGAACAGCGCUUAGCGUUAGAGUCGUCUGUCAGAGGAAAGGAAGAUGUGUUAGCCUUACUACCGACUGGAUUUGGUAAAAGUCUGAUUUACCAACUCGCUCCGUUGGUUACUAAGGUAAUGGGGGUUAGCGAGACCCCGGUCGUUGCUGUGGUUUCGCCAUUAAUAGCAUUGGUGUAGGACCAAAUAAAGGACGCAGUCGACCUUGGAAUAUCUGCAACACAGCUGGGUCAAGACGAUGAAACGGCGAUUGAGAGAUGAUGCCGUUAUAAGAUUCUGUUUGGCAGUCCCGAGGCCUGGCUGAGCGCGAAGUGGGAGGACAUGCUAGCCACCGAUGUAUACAAGACCAACCUGAUCGGCGUAUACUAGUUGUCGAUGAAGUCCAUCUUACUUAUAUAAAUGGAGGAAGGCUGAGAAAGGACGGAAGGCUUUUAGGGAAAGCUUUGCGAGGUUGGGGAACUGAGAGCCAUCGUGAAACCAGAAACACCGGUACUGGCAUUGACUGUGUCUGCGGAAUUGCACUCAAGAGAAAUUGUCAGGAGACCGCUCCAACUCCAAAACCCAGUUGACAUCAUUGCCAGCCCCAAUCGACCCAACAUCAGACUCUCCAUAAGACGACUUUCGAGUGAGUCACUGGACUGUUUCGACUGGCUCGUGAAGGACUUGACAGAGAAAGGAGUGGAGAUGUCACCAGUCAAUAUAUACUGCCGGACAAUAAACA
Long non-coding RNA from Engraulis encrasicolus (European anchovy), 984 nucleotides. RefSeq lists it as uncharacterized. The record is from RefSeq and is a predicted model, not a curated record. NCBI's taxonomy places the organism in Eukaryota, Metazoa, Chordata, Actinopteri, Clupeiformes, Engraulidae. The transcript is spliced from 3 exons.